Molecule: long non-coding RNA, 887 nt
Filed under: Homo sapiens (human)
Lineage: Eukaryota; Metazoa; Chordata; Mammalia; Primates; Hominidae
Description: long independently transcribed non-coding RNA 2980, transcript variant 4 (LINC02980)
Source: RNAcentral
GCAGUCGCCCUGCGCGCCUCCCCGCGAGGCUUGUUUUCUAGCGCCUCUGGUGGGCCGCCUCCCGCAGGCCUGGUGUGAGCCUGGGGUCCGUUCUCACAGCUGGAUCUGGGGUCUGAAUGCCGCGCCCUCUGGAGAGCCACAGAUGGGUCUCCGCUGAUGCUUCUCUCAAUUUCCUCUAAGAGCGAGAGCUCCGGGAAAGGAGCCGAUCCUGGUGGAAGACUACAGGUCUGAGUCCACUGGACGAAAAACGAGGCUCCUUGGAUUAGAGACCAUCCUGAGGACAUCCUUGGGAGCCAUGUGCUGAAGAUGGCCAAGCCACAGGAUGAAAGGAGCUGCAUCUUUGAGUCACCACUGGAGAAAGAGAUGAGGUUUCGCCAUGUUGACCAGGCUGGUCUCAAACUCCUGGACUCAAGUGAUCUGCCCACCUCGGCCUCCCAAAGUACUGGGAUUACAGGCAUGAGCCAAUGUGCCCGUCCUGAGGAGUUUUCUUCUGGAAUUCCUGCUGGGUUUUUGUAGUCAGUCCUCUCCCCAUUUCCCACAUUGGCUCUUGCAGACCUUCCUUUUCCCCAUUUCUAUUUGCUACCAUGUCAGACAUGACUUUUGCCAUAGGAUCUCUAUUCUACUAUAGAGGAAACCAAAGCCAUCAGUAGAAAUUUCACUAACAUGGAAUCAGAUUUAUAGAAGAAAGGGGGAGGAAAGUUUUGCCUUAACACCUGGAAGGGUUUCGUUUCUUUUAGUAGCUGGGAGACAGAAACAUAAGAAAGUAGCUUAGUAAGCUUUCUGCUGUUCAACUGAUGAUGUGUGAGCUGUCAGUAGUUCAAACUAGUCAUUAUCUUUAUGAAUUAAUUAUGUAAUAACUUAAACAAUGUCAUAAACCUUCAAAUCAG